RNAcentral lists this small RNA (148 nucleotides) under Papio anubis (olive baboon). Its description in RNAcentral is "Metazoan signal recognition particle RNA (ENSPANG00000037918.1)". The record is from Rfam by way of RNAcentral. Lineage: Eukaryota; Metazoa; Chordata; Mammalia; Primates; Cercopithecidae.
GCCGGGCGUGGUGGUGCACGCCUGUAAUCCCAGCUACUUUGGAGGCUGAGGCAGGAGAAUCGCUUGAACCUGGGAGGCAGAGGUUGCAGUGAGCCGAGAUUGUGCCACUGCAUUCCAGCCUUUGUGACAGAGCAAGACCCCGUCUCAA